Molecule: ribosomal RNA, 2148 nt
Filed under: Clostridioides difficile
Lineage: Bacteria; Bacillati; Bacillota; Clostridia; Peptostreptococcales; Peptostreptococcaceae
Description: bacterial LSU rRNA
Rfam family: Bacterial large subunit ribosomal RNA
Source: RNAcentral
UGGUCAAGUUAUUAAGGGUGCAGGGCGGAUGCCUUGGCACUAGGAGCCGAUGAAGGACGUGAUAAGCUGCGAUAAGCUUCGGGGAGUUGCACGUAAACUUUGAUCCGAAGAUUUCCGAAUGAGGAAACUCACUUAGAGUAAUGUCUAAGUAUCAUUAAGUGAAUACAUAGCUUAAUGAGGGGAACUCAGGGAACUGAAACAUCUAAGUACCUGAAGGAAGAGAAAGAAAUUCGAUUCCGUAAGUAGCGGCGAGCGAACGCGGAUUAGCCCAAACCAAUAAAGUUUUCUUUAUUGGGGUUGCGGACAUAUCAUAACGAAGAGGUAUCGUAAUUGAAGAGGUUUGGAAAGACCCACCACAGAAGGUAAUAGUCCUGUAUGUUAAACGAGAAGACUUCAGAUAUGAUCCAGAGUACCACGGGACACGUGAAACCCUGUGGGAAGCAGGAGGGACCACCCUCCAAGGCUAAAUACUACCUAGUGACCGAUAGCGUAUAGUACCGUGAGGGAAAGGUGAAAAGAACCCCGGGAGGGGAGUGAAAUAGAACCUGAAACCCUGCACUUACAAGCUGUGGAAGCACAUUUCUUGUGUGACCGCGUACUUUUUGUAGAACGGGCCAACGAGUUACGUUAAGUAGCAAGGUUAAGCACUUAAGGUGCGGAGCCGUAGCGAAAGCGAGUUUUAACUGAGCGUUCAGUUACUUGACGUAGACCCGAAACCGGGCGACCUACCCAUGAGCAGGAUGAAGCGAAAGUAAAAUUUCGUGGAGGUCCGAACCCACGAGCGUUGAAAAGCUCGGGGAUGACUUGUGGGUAGCGGUGAAAUUCCAAUCGAGCCCGGAGAUAGCUGGUUCUCCCCGAAAUAGCUUUAGGGCUAGCCUCAAGGUGAGAGAUACGGAGGUAGAGCACUGAAUGUCCUAGGGGGUAUUGCACCUACCGAAGACUAUCAAACUCCGAAUGCCGUCAUCUUAUACUUGGGAGUCAGACUGUGGGUGAUAAGAUUCAUAGUCGAAAGGGCAACAGCCCAGAUCGUCAGCUAAGGUCCCUAAAUGUAAGUUAAGUGGUAAAGGAUGUGGGAUUGCACAGACAACCAGGAUGUUGGCUUAGAAGCAGCCACUCAUUCAAAGAGUGCGUAAUAGCUCACUGGUCGAGUGAUCCUGCGCCGAAGAUUUCCGGGGCUAAAACUUACUACCGAAGCUACGGCAUCAGUAAUGAUGGGUAGGGGAGCUUCCCAUACGGGUUGAAGCGUGACCGUAAGGACAUGUGGACAGUAUGGGAGUGAGAAUGUUGGCAUGAGUAGCGAGAUGUGGGUGAGAAUCCCACAGGCCGUAAACCCAAGGUUUCCAGGGGAAGGUUCGUCCGCCCUGGGUUAGUCGGGACCUAAGCUGAGGCCGAAAGGCGUAGGUGAUGGACAACAGGUUGAUAUUCCUGUACUACCGAUAACCGUUUGAGAGAAGGGAUGACACAGUAGGAUAAGCUAAGCACACUGUUGGUUAUGUGUGCCCAAGCAUUGAGGCAGUCAAAGUAGGCAAAUCCGCUUUGAUAAUGCUGGGAUGUGAUGGGGAGCGAAAUUUAGUAGCGAAGUAGCUGAUUUCACACUGUCAAGAAAAGUCUCUAUCGAGGUUAAAGGUACCCGUACCGCAAACCGACACAGGUGGGUGAGGAGAGUAUCCUAAGGCCAGCGAGAGAACUGUUGUUAAGGAACUCGGCAAAAUGACCCCGUAACUUAGGGAUAAGGGGUGCCACCAUCAGGUGGCUGCAGAGAAUAGGCCCAAGCGACUGUUUACCAAAAACAUAGGUUUCUGCUAAGUCGCAAGACGAUGUAUAGGAGCUGACGCCUGCCCGGUGCUGGAAGGUUAAGGGGAUCUGUUAGAGCAAUCGAAGCAGUGAACUUAAGCCCCAGUAAACGGCGGCCGUAACUAUAACGGUCCUAAGGUAGCGAAAUUCCUUGUCGGGUAAGUUCCGACCCGCACGAAAGGCGUAACGAUUUGGGCACUGUCUCAACAACAGACUCGGUGAAAUUGUAAUUCCGGUGAAGAUGCCGGAUACCUGCGACAGGACGGAAAGACCCCAUGGAGCUUUACUGUAGCUUGACAUUGGGUCUACUACAGUAGGAUAGGUGGGAGGCUUUGAAACCAGGACGCCAGUUUU